Molecule: ribosomal RNA, 1157 nt
Filed under: Enterococcus faecium
Lineage: Bacteria; Bacillati; Bacillota; Bacilli; Lactobacillales; Enterococcaceae
Description: bacterial SSU rRNA
Rfam family: Bacterial small subunit ribosomal RNA
Source: RNAcentral
UAACAAUCGAAACCGCAUGGUUUUGAUUUGAAAGGCGCUUUCGGGUGUCGCUGAUGGAUGGACCCGCGGUGCAUUAGCUAGUUGGUGAGGUAACGGCUCACCAAGGCCACGAUGCAUAGCCGACCUGAGAGGGUGAUCGGCCACAUUGGGACUGAGACACGGCCCAAACUCCUACGGGAGGCAGCAGUAGGGAAUCUUCGGCAAUGGACGAAAGUCUGACCGAGCAACGCCGCGUGAGUGAAGAAGGUUUUCGGAUCGUAAAACUCUGUUGUUAGAGAAGAACAAGGAUGAGAGUAACUGUUCAUCCCUUGACGGUAUCUAACCAGAAAGCCACGGCUAACUACGUGCCAGCAGCCGCGGUAAUACGUAGGUGGCAAGCGUUGUCCGGAUUUAUUGGGCGUAAAGCGAGCGCAGGCGGUUUCUUAAGUCUGAUGUGAAAGCCCCCGGCUCAACCGGGGAGGGUCAUUGGAAACUGGGAGACUUGAGUGCAGAAGAGGAGAGUGGAAUUCCAUGUGUAGCGGUGAAAUGCGUAGAUAUAUGGAGGAACACCAGUGGCGAAGGCGGCUCUCUGGUCUGUAACUGACGCUGAGGCUCGAAAGCGUGGGGAGCAAACAGGAUUAGAUACCCUGGUAGUCCACGCCGUAAACGAUGAGUGCUAAGUGUUGGAGGGUUUCCGCCCUUCAGUGCUGCAGCUAACGCAUUAAGCACUCCGCCUGGGGAGUACGACCGCAAGGUUGAAACUCAAAGGAAUUGACGGGGGCCCGCACAAGCGGUGGAGCAUGUGGUUUAAUUCGAAGCAACGCGAAGAACCUUACCAGGUCUUGACAUCCUUUGACCACUCUAGAGAUAGAGCUUCCCCUUCGGGGGCAAAGUGACAGGUGGUGCAUGGUUGUCGUCAGCUCGUGUCGUGAGAUGUUGGGUUAAGUCCCGCAACGAGCGCAACCCUUAUUGUUAGUUGCCAUCAUUCAGUUGGGCACUCUAGCAAGACUGCCGGUGACAAACCGGAGGAAGGUGGGGAUGACGUCAAAUCAUCAUGCCCCUUAUGACCUGGGCUACACACGUGCUACAAUGGGAAGUACAACGAGUUGCGAAGUCGCGAGGCUAAGCUAAUCUCUUAAAGCUUCUCUCAGUUCGGAUUGCAGGCUGCAACUCGCCUG